GACGAACGCUGGCGGCGUGCUUAACACAUGCAAGUCGAACGGAAAGGCCCUGCUUUUGUGGGGUGCUCGAGUGGCGAACGGGUGAGUAACACGUGAGUAACCUGCCCUUGACUUUGGGAUAACUUCAGGAAACUGGGGCUAAUACCGGAUAGGAGCUCCUGCUGCAUGGUGGGGGUUGGAAAGUUUCGGCGGUUGGGGAUGGACUCGCGGCUUAUCAGCUUGUUGGUGGGGUAGUGGCUUACCAAGGCUUUGACGGGUAGCCGGCCUGAGCGGGUGACCGGCCACAUUGGGACUGAGAUACGGCCCAGACUCCUACGGGAGGCAGCAGGGGGGAAUAUUGCACAAUGGGCGGAAGCCGGAUGCAGCAACGCCGCGUGCGGGAUGACGGCCUUCGGGUUGUAAACCGCUUUCGCCUGUGACGAAGCGUGAGUGACGGUAAUGGGUAAAGAAGCACCGGCUAACUACGUG
RNAcentral lists this ribosomal RNA (468 nucleotides) under uncultured bacterium. RNAcentral describes it as "partial 16S ribosomal RNA". It matches the Rfam family "Bacterial small subunit ribosomal RNA", at positions 28 to 507 of the family's 1533-position model. The record is from RNAcentral.